This 493-nucleotide long non-coding RNA is filed under the name Homo sapiens (human). Its description in RNAcentral is "non-protein coding lnc-TMEM18-3:6". Lineage: Eukaryota; Metazoa; Chordata; Mammalia; Primates; Hominidae. The record is from RNAcentral.
AGCAGCAGCAUCUGUGAAUUUUCACAAAGUGGAGCUCCUGAAAGAGACCGGGCAAAUGGGAACUAAGGAGGAAAAAACGAAAGGCGGACACACUCAGUGACCUCUGGGGCAGGUGAGCGGUGGCCUCACCUGACACCCGCCCGCGGGGAUGCACCCAGCAUGAGGUAGGGAGCUCGAGGAAGCUGACUGUGGUUUGGACGUGGUUUGCCAUCUCCACCAAGUUCCAUGUGAAACGUGAUCCUCAAUGUGUUAGUGUUUGGAGGUGGGGCCUGGUGGGAGGUGUUUACAUCCUGGCAGGAGGUGUUUAUGUCCUGGGACUGAAUCCUUCUUUGUGAGGUAUUGAGUGUGGCUUCACUCUCAGAGACUGGACUGGCUCCCACUGGAACUGUUGUUACAAGGUGCAGAUUCUCCUUCUGCUUGGUCCUCUCCACAUCUGUUCACUUCUCCUCUGACCUUCUCCAUCAUGUUAUGACCCAGCUCAGAAACCCUCACA